UUUUUCAUGUAAGUAGGUCCCAUGAUAUAUCUGGGACAUACUUAUACUAAAA
RNAcentral lists this microRNA precursor (52 nucleotides) under Marmota monax (woodchuck). Lineage: Eukaryota; Metazoa; Chordata; Mammalia; Rodentia; Sciuridae. The record is from RNAcentral.